This is a small nuclear RNA of Peromyscus leucopus (white-footed mouse), 105 nucleotides long. Lineage: Eukaryota; Metazoa; Chordata; Mammalia; Rodentia; Cricetidae. The record is from RefSeq and is a predicted model, not a curated record.
GUGUUUGCUUUAGCAGCACAUAUACUAAAAAUGGAAUAAUAUAUAUGAUUAGCAUUACUCCCAUACAAGGAUGAAAUGUAAAUUCAUGAAGCGUUAAAAAAACAA